This 1534-nucleotide ribosomal RNA is filed under the name uncultured bacterium. RNAcentral describes it as "16S ribosomal RNA". It matches the Rfam family "Bacterial small subunit ribosomal RNA". The record is from RNAcentral.
GUUUGAUUCUGGCUCAGGAUGAACGCCGGCGGUGUGCCUAAUACAUGCAAGUCGUACGCACUGGCCCAACUGAUUGAUGGUGCUUGCACCUGAUUGACGAUGGAUCACCAGUGAGUGGCGGACGGGUGAGUAACACGUAGGUAACCUGCCCCGGAGCGGGGGAUAACAUUUGGAAACAGAUGCUAAUACCGCAUAACAACAAAAGCCACAUGGCUUUUGUUUGAAAGAUGGCUUUGGCUAUCACUCUGGGAUGGACCUGCGGUGCAUUAGCUAGUUGGUAAGGUAACGGCUUACCAAGGCGAUGAUGCAUAGCCGAGUUGAGAGACUGAUCGGCCACAAUGGAACUGAGACACGGUCCAUACUCCUACGGGAGGCAGCAGUAGGGAAUCUUCCACAAUGGGCGCAAGCCUGAUGGAGCAACACCGCGUGAGUGAAGAAGGGUUUCGGCUCGUAAAGCUCUGUUGUUGGAGAAGAACGUGCGUGAGAGUAACUGUUCACGCAGUGACGGUAUCCAACCAGAAAGUCACGGCUAACUACGUGCCAGCAGCCGCGGUAAUACGUAGGUGGCAAGCGUUAUCCGGAUUUAUUGGGCGUAAAGCGAGCGCAGGCGGUUGCUUAGGUCUGAUGUGAAAGCCUUCGGCUUAACCGAAGAAGUGCAUCGGAAACCGGGCGACUUGAGUGCAGAAGAGGACAGUGGAACUCCAUGUGUAGCGGUGGAAUGCGUAGAUAUAUGGAAGAACACCAGUGGCGAAGGCGGCUGUCUGGUCUGCAACUGACGCUGAGGCUCGAAAGCAUGGGUAGCGAACAGGAUUAGAUACCCUGGUAGUCCAUGCCGUAAACGAUGAGUGCUAGGUGUUGGAGGGUUUCCGCCUUUCAGUGCCGGAGCUAACGCAUUAAGCACUCCGCCUGGGGAGUACGACCGCAAGGUUGAAACUCAAAGGAAUUGACGGGGGCCCGCACAAGCGGUGGAGCAUGUGGUUUAAUUCGAAGCUACGCGAAGAACCUUACCAGGUCUUGACAUCUUGCGCUAACCUUAGAGAUAAGGCGUUCCCUUCGGGGACGCAAUGACAGGUGGUGCAUGGUCGUCGUCAGCUCGUGUCGUGAGAUGUUGGGUUAAGUCCCGCAACGAGCGCAACCCUUGUUACUAGUUGCCAGCAUUAAGUUGGGCACUCUAGUGAGACUGCCGGUGACAAACCGGAGGAAGGUGGGGACGACGUCAGAUCAUCAUGCCCCUUAUGACCUGGGCUACACACGUGCUACAAUGGACGGUACAACGAGUCGCAAGCUCGCGAGAGUAAGCUAAUCUCUUAAAGCCGUUCUCAGUUCGGACUGUAGGCUGCAACUCGCCUACACGAAGUCGGAAUCGCUAGUAAUCGCGGAUCAGCAUGCCGCGGUGAAUACGUUCCCGGGCCUUGUACACACCGCCCGUCACACCAUGGGAGUUUGUAACGCCCAAAGUCGGUGGCCUAACCUUUAUGGAGGGAGCCGCCUAAGGCGGGACAGAUGACUGGGGUGAAGUCGUAACAAGGUAACC